AUGACGAUGGUGGUCAUGCUCAUGCGCAAGCGACGCCCCCUUGCUCGUUUCGACAACCUCGCCGCCCUUCUCCUCCUCGCGCCACUCACCGUCGCACAGCCGCUGCCGUGGCAGCUCUGCGACACCACCGCCGGGAACUACACCGAGGGCAGCGCCUACCAAGCCAACAUACGCGUCCUCGCCAGCGGCUUCCCCAGGAACGCCUCGGCGUCCCCGGCCCUUUUCGCCAAGGGCUCGGCCGGUACGGCACCAGACGUCGUCUACGCUCUCGCGCUCUGCCGCGGCGACACCAACGCCUCCUCCUGCGCGGCGUGCGGCGCCACCGCCUUCCAGAACGCUCAGCAGCUCUGUGCCUUCAACAUGCGCGCCACCAUGUUCGACAACCCCUGCUGUUGUCGUAAUCUUCAGUUUCAGGUUCAGUAG
This 423-nucleotide ribosomal RNA is filed under the name Triticum aestivum (bread wheat). Its description in RNAcentral is "partial small subunit ribosomal RNA". Lineage: Eukaryota; Viridiplantae; Streptophyta; Magnoliopsida; Poales; Poaceae. The record is from RNAcentral.